UCAUCUUUGCACACAGCCUGCAUCUCUGGAUUAACAUACAACAUUGAAUCUGAUGGCUAGAGGCCUGCCCCAUCAGCCUGGAUGGAAGCCAAACUCUGUUAUAACUCUGAGGACCAACUUCACUGGCCAAGGUGACGAAGGCUGGCUCCAGAUUCGUUCAGCAAGGGUCACCACUUUAUAGCAGAUGAUACACUGAAAUUUCUGCCAGCAGGCUAUUUGCUUUGUGCUGUUUUCUAGUAAUGCUGACAGAUUUGAAUAUAUCUAUCCCAUAAGCUUUAUUUCCCUUGAUCUAACACCCUCUUUUGUAAUAUGUGACUUUGAAAGAGUUUUUUUAUCUGUGUGAAGCUACCACAUAUGAGAGGGAACCAGCCUCUAAAAACACCCUGGACUUAUCUCCUGGAGGGCAGGCCCCUUGUAGUAUAGGCUUCCCCAGCUAGGUAGGUGUUCUAGGAAGCCAUCUGUAUCAGUGUACCAGCUGGCAUUGUUGUGAGAGGCUGUGUUCAGCUACAGUGAAUUCUUUUGAAGAUUCAACAUGUUUGCUUAUUUCAUGAUGGGUGAUUUACAAGCACACCUGCCCACACUGCACUGAGUGUUCAGCAGUUUUCAACCAAAAACAGCAUGACCCUUGUGCCCCAUCCUCCCUAUUUACUCAAUCUCAUCCCAAGCAACUUAUUUUUUGUCUCCCCAGAUGAA
Long non-coding RNA from Phyllostomus discolor (pale spear-nosed bat), 693 nucleotides. RefSeq lists it as uncharacterized. The record is from RefSeq and is a predicted model, not a curated record. NCBI's taxonomy places the organism in Eukaryota, Metazoa, Chordata, Mammalia, Chiroptera, Phyllostomidae. The transcript has 2 exons.